This is a non-coding RNA of Pseudomonas lutea, 131 nucleotides long. The record is from Rfam. NCBI's taxonomy places the organism in Bacteria, Pseudomonadati, Pseudomonadota, Gammaproteobacteria, Pseudomonadales, Pseudomonadaceae.
UUGGUUAGAAAUCAUCCAGGCCAUCACCGCAACGGCGAUGGCAUCAAGCCCGCGACGCCGGCAGCGGGCCGUUAAUGGCAGAGCAUUCUGCCCGACCUCAACCCGAGGUCUCCAGGGACAUUACAGUCAAC